GAUGAACGCUGGCGGCGUGCCUAAUACAUGCAAGUCGAGCGAACGGACGAGAAGCUUGCUUCUCUGAUGUUAGCGGCGGACGGGUGAGUAACACGUGGAUAACCUACCUAUAAGACUGGGAUAACUUCGGGAAACCGGAGCUAAUACCGGAUGAUAUUUUGAACCGCAUGGUUCAAAAGUGAAAGACGGUCUUGCUGUCACUUAUAGGUGGAUCCGCGCUGCAUUAGCUAGUUGGUAAGGUAACGGCUUACCAAGGCAACGAUGCAUAGCCGACCUGAGAGGGUGAUCGGCCACACUGGAACUGAGACACGGUCCAGACUCCUACGGGAGGCAGCAGUAGGGUAUCUUCCGCAAUGGGCGAAAGCCUGACGGAGCAACGCCGCGUGAGUGAUGAAGGUCUUCGGAUCGUAAAACUCUGUUAUUAGGGAAGAACAGAUGUGUAAGUAACUGUGCACAUCUUGACGGUACCUAAUCAGAAAGCCACGGCUAACUACGUG
Molecule: ribosomal RNA, 497 nt
Filed under: uncultured bacterium
Lineage: Bacteria
Description: partial 16S ribosomal RNA
Rfam family: Bacterial small subunit ribosomal RNA
Source: RNAcentral